GGCCGUAUCGGGGAUGCUGGAACCUGCGGUUGAGUGAGAAACCGGCGCCACCGCCUGCGUCUUGGUCUCGGGCUGGUGGCCAGCGGGGUCUGGGCGUGGUUUUACCCAGCUCCUUUGCGAAGCUGCUGUCCUUUCCUCAACGUUACCACCCGGCUGGGCAGCCUACCCUCGCAGCAACAGGUGUGCACCUUCCAAGCUUGCAACAGACCACAUUCAGAAGCUUGAUUUCUUGUUGUUCUGGGAAUAUCUGGAUCAGAGGUAACAUGGUUCACUAGGACUCCUCAGCUUCACCCAGUGUCCAUUUCACCUCCCCCGGCCUUCCAAUGUCUCUUCUUGCAGAUUUCUCCAAGCCACUCUCCCCGUCAUCUCCUCCACCCCCAGGACCCAACUCCUGCCCCUCCCACCCUAGCCCCUGUUCUCCCUGCCCACCUCCUACCCCACUGGAGUGGCCUUUCAUCAAACCUAAACCAAAGAAACCAACAGACCUUGCUGUCACCACUACUCCGGGACCUGGAAGUUAAAGCGAGGGAGAGACGGUGAAACACAGAAAGCAGAACGCCUUCUGUUCUUCCACAACACAGGGUUUGUGGACGUGGCCACUAUAAGAACUCGCACUGCGUGCUGAUUAUACUCCUCAGCACAAUUCAUUUCUUAAACUUUUUAGAAUAAUUUAAAAUUUACAAAAAGUUGCAAAAAUAAAAACCAGUAAACUUUUC
This 716-nucleotide long non-coding RNA is filed under the name Homo sapiens (human). RNAcentral's name for it is "HSALNT0400232". The record is from RNAcentral. Lineage: Eukaryota; Metazoa; Chordata; Mammalia; Primates; Hominidae.